UACGUAGGUGACCAGCGUUGUCCGGAUUUACGGGGCGUAAAGAGCGCGCAGGCGGUCGUUCAAGUCGAGUGUGAAAGCCCCCGGCUCAACUGGGGAGGGUCAUUCGAUACUGAUCGACUGGAAGGCAGGAGAGGGAAGCGGAAUUCCCGGUGUAGUGGUGAAAUGCGUAGAUAUCGGGAGGAACACCAGUGGCGAAGGCGGCUUCCUGGCCUGUUCUUGACGCUGAGGCGCGAAAGCUAGGGGAGCAAACGGG
This 253-nucleotide ribosomal RNA is filed under the name uncultured bacterium. RNAcentral describes it as "partial 16S ribosomal RNA". It matches the Rfam family "Bacterial small subunit ribosomal RNA", at positions 524 to 776 of the family's 1533-position model. The record is from RNAcentral.